GUGCCAGCAGCCGCGGUAAUACAGAGGGUGCAAGCGUUAAUCGGAAUUACUGGGCGUAAAGCGUGCGUAGUCGGUUAUCUAAGUCGGGUGUGAAAUCCCAGGGCUCAACCUUGGAAUUGCAUUCGAAACUGAAUAGCUAGAGUUCGGCAGAGGGAAGUGGAAUUUCCGGUGUAGCGGUGAAAUGCGUAGAUAUCGGAAGGAACAUCAGUGGCGAAAGCGACUUCCUGGACCAGAACUGACGAUCAGGCACGAAAGCGUGGGGAGCAAACAGGAUUAGAAACCCGGGUAGUCC
This 292-nucleotide ribosomal RNA is filed under the name uncultured bacterium. RNAcentral describes it as "partial 16S ribosomal RNA". It matches the Rfam family "Bacterial small subunit ribosomal RNA", at positions 505 to 796 of the family's 1533-position model. The record is from RNAcentral.